GACGAACGCUGGCGGCGUGCUUAACACAUGCAAGUCGAACGGAAAGGCCCUGCUUUUGUGGGGUUCUCGAGUGGCGAACGGGUGAGUAACACGUGAGUAACCUGCCCUUGACUUUGGGAUAACUUCAGGAAACUGGGGCUAAUACCGGAUAGGAGCUCCUGCUGCAUGGUGGGGGUUGGAAAGUUUCGGCGGUGGGGGCUGGACUCGCGGCUUAUCAGCUUGUUGGUGGGGUAGUGGCUUACCAAGGCUUUGACGGGUAGCCGGCCUGAGAGGGUGACCGGCCACAUUGGGACUGAGAUACGGCCCAGACUCCUACGGGAGGCAGCAGUGGGGAAUAUUGCACAAUGGGCGGAAGCCUGAUGCAGCAACGCCGCGUGCGGGAUGACGGCCUUCGGGUUGUAAACCGCUUUCGCCUGUGACGAAGCGUGAGUGACGGUAAUGGGUAAAGAAGCACCGGCUAACUACGUG
RNAcentral lists this ribosomal RNA (468 nucleotides) under uncultured bacterium. RNAcentral describes it as "partial 16S ribosomal RNA". It matches the Rfam family "Bacterial small subunit ribosomal RNA", at positions 28 to 507 of the family's 1533-position model. The record is from RNAcentral.